CCUACGGGAGGCAGCAGUAGGGAAUAUUGGGCAAUGGAGGCAACUCUGACCCAGCCAUGCCGCGUGCAGGAAGACGGUCCUCUGGAUUGUAAACUGCUUUUGAAUGGGAAGAAUGUGUGGCUUGCGAGCUAUAAUGACGGUACCAUUAGAAUAAGCCACGGCUAACUACGUGCCAGCAGCCGCGGUAAUACGUAGGUGGCGAGCGUUAUCCGGAUUUAUUGGGUUUAAAGGGUGCGUAGGCGGCUUAAUAAGUCGGUGGUUAAAAGUAGCAGCUUAACUGUUUUACAUGCCAUCGAUACUGUUGAGCUUGAGAUAUUUGGAGGCAGCUAGAAUUUCCGGUGUAGCGGUGAAAUGCAUAGAUACCGGAAGGAAUACCAAUUGCGAAGGCAGGUUGCUACGAAUAAACUGACGCUGAUGCACGAAAGCGUGGGGAUCAAACAGGAUUAGAUACCCUGGUAGUCCACGCCGUAAACGAUGAUUACUAGUUGUUGGGGUUUUAAAGCCUCAGUGACGAACGGAAACCGGAACGUAAGUAAGUACCACCGUCGGGAGGUACGGCCGGCCGAACGGUAGUAACGUUACGAAAGUAAGUUAAGUUAGUACGGCGNGAGAGCGACGACGGACGACGACGGAGGGAGGAGG
Molecule: ribosomal RNA, 642 nt
Filed under: uncultured bacterium
Lineage: Bacteria
Description: bacterial SSU rRNA
Rfam family: Bacterial small subunit ribosomal RNA (bases 1-544)
Source: RNAcentral